UACGUAGGGGGCCAGCGUUGCUCGGAAUUACUGGGCGUAAAGGGUUCGUAGGCGGUGCGGUAAGUUGGGAGUGAAAUCUCUGGGCUUAACCCAGAGGCUGCUUUCAAAACUGCCGCGCUCGAGUGCGAGAGAGGUCAGUGGAAUUGCAGGUGUAGCGGUGAAAUGCAUAGAUAUGUCACAGAACACCGAUUGCGAAGGCAGCUUACUAAAGUGUGAUUGACGCUGAGGCACGAAAGCGUGGGGAUCAAACAGG
This 253-nucleotide ribosomal RNA is filed under the name uncultured prokaryote. Its description in RNAcentral is "partial 16S ribosomal RNA". It matches the Rfam family "Bacterial small subunit ribosomal RNA", at positions 524 to 776 of the family's 1533-position model. The record is from RNAcentral.